RNAcentral lists this unclassified non-coding RNA (421 nucleotides) under soil metagenome. RNAcentral's name for it is "partial contains 5.8S ribosomal RNA, internal transcribed spacer 2, and large subunit ribosomal RNA". The stretch from base 1 to 120 matches the Rfam family "5.8S ribosomal RNA", at positions 35 to 154 of the family's 154-position model. The record is from RNAcentral.
GAUGAAGAACGUAGCGAAAUGCGAUACGUAAUGUGAAUUGCAGAAUUCAGUGAAUCAUCGAAUCUUUGAACGCAUAUUGCGCUCUUUGGUAUUCCGAAGAGCAUGCUUGUUUGAGUAUCAGUAAACACCUCAACCUCUUCUUGAUUUUUCAAAAGGAGGGUGGACUUGAGCUAUCCCAACAACCUUUACCGGUCGGCGGGCGGCUUGAAAUGCAGGUGCAGCUGGACUUUUAUCUGAGCUAAAAGCAUAUCUAUUUAGUCCUCGUCAAACAGGAUUAUUACUUUUGCUGCAGCUAACAUAAAGGAUAAUUGUCCUCUUUGCUGACUGAUGCAGGAUUUUACGACACUUUAUGUGUUGUUCAACUCGAUCUCAAAUCAAGUAAGACUACCCGCGGAACUUAAGCAUAUCAACAAGCGGAGGA